Molecule: ribosomal RNA, 443 nt
Filed under: uncultured bacterium
Lineage: Bacteria
Description: partial 16S ribosomal RNA
Rfam family: Bacterial small subunit ribosomal RNA
Source: RNAcentral
GUAGGGAAUAUUGGGCAAUGGUCGGAAGACUGACCCAGCCAUGCCGCGUGCAGGAAGACGGCCCUCUGGGUUGUAAACUGCUUUUAUCUGGGAAGAAAAGGCCAUGCGUGGCAAAUUGCCGGUACCAGAUGAAUAAGCACCGGCUAACUCCGUGCCAGCAGCCGCGGUAAUACGGAGGGUGCGAGCGUUGUCCGGAUUUAUUGGGUUUAAAGGGUGCGUAGGCGGCUGAUUAAGUCAGCGGUGAAAGACUUCGGCUUAACCGGAGCAGUGCCGUUGAUACUGGUUGGCUUGAGUGUCGGAGGGGUACAUGGAAUUGAUGGUGUAGCGGUGAAAUGCAUAGAUACCAUCAGGAACACCGAUAGCGAAGGCAUUGUACUGGCCGACAACUGACGCUGAUGCACGAAAGUGUGGGGAUCGAACAGGAUUAGAAACCCCUGUAGUCC